This 1260-nucleotide ribosomal RNA is filed under the name Bacillus cereus. RNAcentral's name for it is "bacterial SSU rRNA". It matches the Rfam family "Bacterial small subunit ribosomal RNA", at positions 107 to 1353 of the family's 1533-position model. The record is from RNAcentral. Lineage: Bacteria; Bacillati; Bacillota; Bacilli; Caryophanales; Bacillaceae.
UGAGAAACACGUGGGUAACCUGCCCAUAAGACUGGGAUAACUCCGGGAAACCGGGGCUAAUACCGGAUAACAUUUUGAACCGCAUGGUUCGAAAUUGAAAGGCGGCUUCGGCUGUCACUUAUGGAUGGACCCGCGUCGCAUUAGCUAGUUGGUGAGGUAACGGCUCACCAAGGCAACGAUGCGUAGCCGACCUGAGAGGGUGAUCGGCCACACUGGGACUGAGACACGGCCCAAACUCCUACGGGAGGCAGCAGUAGGGAAUCUUCCGCAAUGGACGAAAGUCUGACGGAGCAACGCCGCGUGAGUGAUGAAGGCUUUCGGGUCGUAAAACUCUGUUGUUAGGGAAAAACAAGUGCUAGUUGAAUAAGCUGGCACCUUGACGGUACCUAACCAAAAAGCCACGGCUAACUACGUGCCAGCAGCCGCGGUAAUACGUAGGUGGCAAGCGUUAUCCGGAAUUAUUGGGCGUAAAGCGCGCGCAGGUGGUUUCUUAAGUCUGAUGUGAAAGCCCACGGCUCAACCGUGGAGGGUCAUUGGAAACUGGGAGACUUGAGUGCAGAAGAGGAAAGUGGAAUUCCAUGUGUAGCGGUGAAAUGCGUAGAGAUAUGGAGGAACACCAGUGGCGAAGGCGACUCUCUGGUCUGUAACUGACACUGAGGCGCGAAAGCGUGGGGAGCAAACAGGAUUAGAUACCCUGGUAGUUCACGCCGUAAACGAUGAGUGCUAAGUGUUAGAGGGUUUCCGCCCUUUAGUGCUGAAGUUAACGCAUUAAGCACUCCGCCUGGGGAGUACGGCCGCAAGGCUGAAACUCAAAGGAAUUGACGGGGGCCCGCACAAGCGGUGGAGCAUGUGGUUUAAUUCGAAGCAACGCGAAGAACCUUACCAGGUCUUGACAUCCUUUGAAAACCCUAGAGAUAGGGCUUUUCCUUCGGGAGCAGAGUGACAGGUGGUGCAUGGUUGUCGUCAGCUCGUGUCGUGAGAUGUUGGGUUAAGUCCCGCAACGAGCGCAACCCUUGAUCUUAGUUGCCAUCAUUAAGUUGGGCACUCUAAGGUGACUGCCGGUGACAAACCGGAGGAAGGUGGGGAUGACGUCAAAUCAUCAUGCCCCUUAUGACCUGGGCUACACACGUGCUACAAUGGACGGUACAAAGAGCUGCAAGACCGCGAGGUGGAGCUAAUCUCAUAAAACCGUUCUCAGUUCGGAUUGUAGGCUGCAACUCGCCUACAUGAAGCUGGAAUCGCUAGUAAUCGCGGAUCAGC